This 497-nucleotide ribosomal RNA is filed under the name uncultured bacterium. RNAcentral's name for it is "partial 16S ribosomal RNA". It matches the Rfam family "Bacterial small subunit ribosomal RNA", at positions 28 to 507 of the family's 1533-position model. The record is from RNAcentral.
GAUGAACGCUGGCGGCGUGCCUAAUACAUGCAAGUCGAGCGAACAGACGAGGAGCUUGCUCCUCUGACGUUAGCGGCGGACGGGUGAGUAACACGUGGAUAACCUACCUAUAAGACUGGGAUAACUUCGGGAAACCGGAGCUAAUACCGGAUAAUAUAUUGAACCGCAUGGUUCAAUAGUGAAAGACGGUUUUGCUGUCACUUAUAGAUGGAUCCGCGCCGCAUUAGCUAGUUGGUAAGGUAACGGCUUACCAAGGCAACGAUGCGUAGCCGACCUGAGAGGGUGAUCGGCCAGCCUGGCACUGAGACUCGGUCCAGACUCCUACGGGAGGACGCAGCAGGGAAUCCUACGCAAUGGGGGAGAGCCGGACGGAGCAACGCCGCGUGAGUGCUGACGGUCUUCGGAUCGUAAAACUCUGUUAGUAGGGAAGAACAAAUGUGUAAGUAACUAUGCACGUCUUGACGGUACCUAAUCAGAAAGCCACGGCUAACUACGUG